GCGCCCAUAGUUCAAUUGGAUAGAAUGUCGGAUUCCGGUUCCGAAGGUUGGAGGUUCGAGCCCUCUUGGGCGUA
This 74-nucleotide transfer RNA is filed under the name Ignavibacteriaceae bacterium. Its description in RNAcentral is "tRNA-Arg". It matches the Rfam family "tRNA". Rfam says of the family: Transfer RNA (tRNA) molecules are approximately 80 nucleotides in length. Their secondary structure includes four short double-helical elements and three loops (D, anti-codon, and T loops). The record is from RNAcentral. Lineage: Bacteria; Pseudomonadati; Ignavibacteriota; Ignavibacteria; Ignavibacteriales; Ignavibacteriaceae.